GGCGGCGUGCCUAAUACAUGCAAGUCGAACGGUCUUUCUAUGGAAGCUUGCUUCCACUGAGAAGAUAGUGGCGAACGGGUGAGUAACACGUGGGUAACCUGCCCAUAAGAGGGGGAUAACAUCCGGAAACGGGUGCUAAUACCGCAUAGUUUUCUUGAUCGCAUGAUUGAGAAAGGAAAGAUGGCCUUUGUGCUGUCGCUUAUGGAUGGACCCGCGGCGUAUUAGUUAGUUGGUGAGGUAACGGCUCACCAAGACGAUGAUACGUAGCCGACCUGAGAGGGUGAUCGGCCACAUUGGGACUGAGACACGGCCCAAACUCCUACGGGAGGCAGCAGUAGGGAAUCUUCCGCAAUGGACGAAAGUCUGACGGAGCAACGCCGCGUGAGUGAAAGAAGGUUUUCGGAUCGUAAAACUCUGUUGUCAGAGAAGAACAAGUUGGAGAGUAACUGCUCCAGCCUUGACGGUAUCUGACCAGAAAGCCACGGCUAACUACGUGCCAGCCGCCGC
This 507-nucleotide ribosomal RNA is filed under the name uncultured bacterium. RNAcentral's name for it is "bacterial SSU rRNA". It matches the Rfam family "Bacterial small subunit ribosomal RNA", at positions 38 to 518 of the family's 1533-position model. The record is from RNAcentral.